GACGAACGCUGGCGGCGUGCUUAACACAUGCAAGUCGAACGGUGAAGCGCCUUCCUUUUUGGUAGGUGCGGAGGAGUGGCGAACGGGUGGUUAACACGUGAGUAACCUGCCCCCUUCUUCUGGAUAACCGCAUGAAAGUGUGGCUAAUACGGGAUAUUCUGGGUCUGUCGCAUGAUGGGUCUGAGAAGGUUAUUGUUUCGGUUGGGGAUGGGCUCGCUGCCUAUCAGCUUGUUGGUGGGGUGGUAGCCUACCAAGGCGGUGACGGGUAGCCGGCCUGAGAGGGUGUAGGGGCACACGGGGAGUGGACGACGACCAGGAGACUGAGGGGCGGCAGCUGUGGGGAAUAGUGGACACUGGGGGGAAGACUGGAGCAGCGAGGCCGCGUGAGGGAUGGAGGCCUGCGGGUAGGGAGCAGCUUUCGGGAGUGAAGAAGGCCUGCAGCGGUUGUGAGUGGGUUGACGGUAGCUGGAGAAGAAGCGACGGCUAAAUACGUG
RNAcentral lists this ribosomal RNA (494 nucleotides) under uncultured bacterium. RNAcentral describes it as "partial 16S ribosomal RNA". It matches the Rfam family "Bacterial small subunit ribosomal RNA", at positions 28 to 507 of the family's 1533-position model. The record is from RNAcentral.